GUUACACUGAGUGACGCGGAGUUACGCGGAAUUACGGGGAGUGACGCAGAGUUACGUGGAAUUACACAGAGUUACGCAGAGUUACUUGGAAUUACAGAGUUACGCAGAGUUACGCAGAAUUACGCGGAGUUCCGCAGAGUUACACUGAGUUACGCGGAGUGACGCGGAUUGACGUGGAGUUACGCAGAGUGACGCGGAGUUACACUGAGUUACGCGGAGUUACGCGGAGUGACGCAGAGUUAUGCGGAAUUACACAGAGUUACGCAGAGUUACUUUGAAUUACAGAGUUACGCAGAAUUACGCGGAGUUACGCAGAAUUACACGGAGUUACGCGGAUUGACGUGGAGUGACGCGGAGUUACACUGAGUUACGCGGAGUUACACUGAGUUACGCGGAGUUACGCAGAAUUACGCAGAGUUACGCGGAGUUACAUUUAGAUCCAACGUUAUAGAUCAGAGUCAGCGCGCUACACAUAUUGAGCGCCGCCUUUUCUAGUAAAAUGUCCGCUGUUAUCUCUCUGUGUCUCUCUGUGUCUCUUUAUGUCUCUCUUUAUGUCUCUCUGUGUCUCUCUUUGUCUCUUUAUGUCUCUCUAUGUCUCUCUGUGUCUCUUUAUGUCUCUCUGUGUCUCUUUAUG
This is a long non-coding RNA of Sebastes umbrosus (honeycomb rockfish), 634 nucleotides long. RefSeq lists it as uncharacterized. The record is from RefSeq and is a predicted model, not a curated record. NCBI's taxonomy places the organism in Eukaryota, Metazoa, Chordata, Actinopteri, Perciformes, Sebastidae. The transcript has 3 exons.